UACAGAGGGUGCAAGCGUUGUUCGGAAUUAUUGGGCGUAAAGGGCGCGUAGGCGGUGCGGUAAGUCUGUAGUGAAAUCUCUGGGCUCAACUCAGAGUCUGCUGCAGAAACUGCCGUGCUUGAGUGUGGGAGAGGUGAGUGGAAUUCCCGGUGUAGCGGUGAAAUGCGCAGAUAUCGGGAAGAACACCCGUGGCUAAGGCGGCUCUCUAGUACGGUACUGACGCUGAAGCGCGAAAGCGUGGGGAGCAAACGGG
This 253-nucleotide ribosomal RNA is filed under the name uncultured bacterium. Its description in RNAcentral is "partial 16S ribosomal RNA". It matches the Rfam family "Bacterial small subunit ribosomal RNA", at positions 524 to 776 of the family's 1533-position model. The record is from RNAcentral.